Talpa occidentalis (Iberian mole) is the source of this 164-nucleotide small nuclear RNA. RefSeq annotates it as U1 spliceosomal RNA. The transcript has a single exon. The record is from RefSeq and is a predicted model, not a curated record. NCBI's taxonomy places the organism in Eukaryota, Metazoa, Chordata, Mammalia, Eulipotyphla, Talpidae.
UAACUUACCUGGCAGGGGAAACACCAUGUUGACAAAGGUGGUUUUCCCAGGCCGAGUCUCCCCCAUUGCACUCCAGGCGUGCUGACUCCUGAGAUUUCCCCAAAUGUGGGAAACUUGACUGCAUAAUUUGUGGUAGUGGGGGAUUGUGUUUGCGCUCUCCCCUG